CCUACGGGAGGCAGCAGUAGGGAAUUUUCGUCAAUGGGCGCAAGCCUGAACGAGCAAUGCCGCGUGAACGAGGAAGGUCUUCGGAUCGUAAAGUUCUGUUGUAGGGGAAAAAGAGCGGAGAGAGGAAAUGGUCUCCGAUUGAUAUUACCCUUCGAGGAAGUCACGGCUAACUACGUGCCAGCAGCCGCGGUAAUACGUAGGUGGCGAGCGUUAUCCGGAAUGAUUGGGCGUAAAGGGUGCGUAGGCGGCCUGUUAAGUCUGGGGUGAAAGGUACCGGCUCAACCGGUAUAGGUCCUGGAAACUGGCGGGCUAGAGGGCAGGAGAGGGCGGUGGAACUCCAUGUGUAGCGGUAAAAUGCGUAGAGAUAUGGAAGAACACCAGUGGCGAAGGCGGCCGCCUGGCCUGUUACUGACGCUGAGGCACGAAAGCGUGGGGAGCAAAUAGGAUUAGAUACCCCUGUAGUC
RNAcentral lists this ribosomal RNA (464 nucleotides) under uncultured bacterium. Its description in RNAcentral is "partial 16S ribosomal RNA". It matches the Rfam family "Bacterial small subunit ribosomal RNA", at positions 338 to 795 of the family's 1533-position model. The record is from RNAcentral.